CACAGAUCCGGGCCACGAAACGGGUCGACACGUGGAUCCCUUCCUCCCCUAAACGGCACCGUUUCAUUUUGUUAUCAAAACUAAAAAAAAUUGAAUGGUAAUCUGCCAUUCUCUACAACAAUUGAAACAAAUCCCUAAUUCCUCAUGUUUCCCCCUUUAUUUAGCCGACAAAGGAACCCUCAACUCCAUUCUUCACACGCCACUGUGAUCAGCAAUAGACAUGGAACGAAGGUCCCCUUUUUGUUCCAAUUGCAACGAAGAAGAAAAUGCUCUAUUGGUGCACUUGUGAAGAUGUGUAUGGCGUGGAGGAACGGAGAUCGUGACGUGAAGGCUAGUUCCGUUGCGAGGCUGCGGCACGCGUGAGGUUGGUGGCUUAGGGUUUCCUAAGUGUUUUUUGUUUUGGGCUAGGAUUUGGGUUGUUUGGGCUAUUAGGCCAUUUUUGCAUUUGGGCCUUUGGGUUCAUGACGGAAUUCGACCAUUAGGUUAGGAUUACUAGGCCAUUCGGAUUAGGUUUAUUGGGCUAGGGAUUAAUUUGGUAUUUAAUUUAAUGUUUGGGUUUGGUUUGGUUUAGGCCCGAAAAUUUGUAAAUGGACAUUGGACCCAUAAAUAAUUUGGCUUAUUAUUUA
Molecule: long non-coding RNA, 626 nt
Organism: Gossypium arboreum
Lineage: Eukaryota; Viridiplantae; Streptophyta; Magnoliopsida; Malvales; Malvaceae
Exons: 2
Source: RefSeq, a predicted model, not a curated record